RNAcentral lists this unclassified non-coding RNA (286 nucleotides) under uncultured fungus. Its description in RNAcentral is "partial contains small subunit ribosomal RNA, internal transcribed spacer 1, and 5.8S ribosomal RNA". The stretch from base 1 to 73 matches the Rfam family "Eukaryotic small subunit ribosomal RNA", at positions 1759 to 1831 of the family's 1831-position model. The record is from RNAcentral. Lineage: Eukaryota; Fungi.
UCAAACUUGGUCAUUUAGAGGAAGUAAAAGUCGUAACAAGGUUUCCGUAGGUGAACCUGCGGAAGGAUCAUUACCGAGUUCGGUACCCUCUGGGUACCUACUCCCACCAUCUGUGUACCCAUUCUUGUUGCUUUGGCGGGGCGUGGCUAACGCCCCUCCGGCUCCGGCUGGAGAGCACCCGCCAGAGGUUUUUAAAACUCGAUUUAACAGAAGUCUGAGUAAAAAUUAAAAAAUCAAAACUUUCAACAACGGAUCUCUUGGUUCUGGCAUCGAUGAAGAACGCAGC